GCCGGCAUAGCUCAGUUGGUAGAGCAGCUGAUUUGUAAUCAGAAGGUCGCGAGUUCGAUUCUUGCUGUCGGCACCA
This 76-nucleotide transfer RNA is filed under the name Nitrosomonas sp. GH22. Its description in RNAcentral is "tRNA-Thr". It matches the Rfam family "tRNA". From Rfam's summary of the family: Transfer RNA (tRNA) molecules are approximately 80 nucleotides in length. RNAcentral also lists the same sequence under 2 other names. Lineage: Bacteria; Pseudomonadati; Pseudomonadota; Betaproteobacteria; Nitrosomonadales; Nitrosomonadaceae. The record is from RNAcentral.